RNAcentral lists this transfer RNA (85 nucleotides) under Brassica napus (rape). It matches the Rfam family "tRNA". From Rfam's summary of the family: Transfer RNA (tRNA) molecules are approximately 80 nucleotides in length. Their secondary structure includes four short double-helical elements and three loops (D, anti-codon, and T loops). Further hydrogen bonds mediate the characteristic L-shaped molecular structure. tRNAs have two regions of fundamental functional importance: the anti-codon, which is responsible for specific mRNA codon recognition, and the 3' end, to which the tRNAs corresponding amino acid is attached (by aminoacyl-tRNA synthetases). tRNAs cope with the degeneracy of the genetic code in two manners: having more than one tRNA (with a specific anti-codon) for a particular amino acid; and 'wobble' base-pairing, i.e. permitting non-standard base-pairing at the 3rd anti-codon position. Lineage: Eukaryota; Viridiplantae; Streptophyta; Magnoliopsida; Brassicales; Brassicaceae. The record is from Rfam by way of RNAcentral.
GGGCUGGUGGCGCAGUUGGCUAGCGCGCAAGUCUCAUAGCUACUGAGUAAUCCAGAGGUUGAGAGUUCGAACCUCUCUCACCCCA